CCUACGGGUGGCUGCAGUAAGGAAUAUUGGUCAAUGGACGAAAGUCUGAACCAGCCAUGCCGCGUGAAGGAUGAAGGUCCUCUGGAUUGUAAACUUCUUUUAUCUGGGACGAAAAAAGGGAAUUCUUUCUCACUUGACGGUACCAGAAGAAUAAGCACCGGCUAACUCCGUGCCAGCAGCCGCGGUAAUACGGAGGGUGCAAGCGUUAUCGGGAUUCACUGGGUUGAAAGGGGGCAUAGGUGGGCAGUUAGAAAUCUCCGGGCUUAACCCGGAAACUGCCAUUGAUACUAUCUGUCUUGAAUACUCUGGAGGUAAGCGGAAUAUGUCAUGUAGCGGUGAAAUGCUUAGAUAUGACAUAGAACACCGAUUGCGAAGGCAGCUUACUACGGAGUCAUUGACACUGAGGCACGAAAGCGUGGGGAUCAAACAGGAUUAGAUACCCGAGUAGUC
Molecule: ribosomal RNA, 450 nt
Filed under: uncultured bacterium
Lineage: Bacteria
Description: partial 16S ribosomal RNA
Rfam family: Bacterial small subunit ribosomal RNA
Source: RNAcentral